AUUUUUCUUCUGGGAUGAAUACCUAUUGCCCGGUUGUAAAAUUAUCGCAAUUUUAUGUUAAAAAUACCCUAAAGGAUUGAUUGUAAACAUCGUUUGGCGUGUUUCUACAAACGGUAAUGGAACUUUGAACAUUUCGUCUAUGGAUUUGCGUCCACGCCACAUGGCAUUGUAAAGUGUUAUGGACGGAUCAACAAAACGGACGUAUUUGGACAUAAAUUAUGGAUUUUGCAGAACAAAUUAACAUUUCUUGUGGAAGUGGGUGCCCUUCCGAGUGCAUUCUGCCGAAGAUCAGCAAAGGAGGAUCCGAUGGUGACACGGGUCUCAGCAGGGUCAGACAGCCAGGGAAGACCAGUUUGUGACAGAGGUGAGGUGAAUUAUUGUAGAUAUAACAUGUUAUUAUCUCUGUCCAGCAAACACUGAACAAGCCAGAUGCAGUCUGACAAACCUCCAAAGUUGAUUUACAAACUCUAUCAAGGGUUGAUAGAGGCUUUUCCUGA
Molecule: long non-coding RNA, 497 nt
Filed under: Salmo salar (Atlantic salmon)
Lineage: Eukaryota; Metazoa; Chordata; Actinopteri; Salmoniformes; Salmonidae
Description: lncRNA (ENSSSAG00000115790.1)
Source: RNAcentral